UACAGAGGUCUCAAGCGUUGUUCGGAUUCAUUGGGCGUAAAGCGCGUGUAGGCGGCUCGUUAAGUCUGCUGUGAAAGUCCAGGGCUCAACCCUGGGAUGCCGGUGGAUACUGUCGAGCUCGAGUCCGGAAGAGGCGAGUGGAAUUCCUGGUGUAGCGGUGAAAUGCGCAGAUAUCAGGAGGAACACCAAUGGCGAAGGCAGCUCGCUGGGACGUGACUGACGCUGAGACGCGAAAGCGUGGGGAGCAAACAGG
Molecule: ribosomal RNA, 253 nt
Filed under: uncultured bacterium
Lineage: Bacteria
Description: partial 16S ribosomal RNA
Rfam family: Bacterial small subunit ribosomal RNA
Source: RNAcentral